CUAGGGUCAUCUCUGAUCUAGGGUCAUCUCUGAUCUAGAGUCAUCUCUGAUCUAGGGUCAUCUCCCCCUUUCCAUGUAAUCAUAUUCAUUAUGAUUAUAAAGGAAAACUGGCCGUAGAUCAGAACUAAUUAUCAUUUAAUCGAACGUUUACAAUGCUCUGCCACUUGACAAAGACUUCUGUGAAAUCAGAACAAUACUCUGUGUGUCUGGGCCUCUCAUUCAUAUAUAUGAGCAUUAUGUUUUAGCAUCAAUAGUGGUAUUCUCUAGUAUCAUAUCGCCCUCCUUUUCUACUGCUGCAGAAAGAGCCUGGACACGCAGAGACCAGAGCGAAGGAGAGAGGGAGGUGGGAUGGGGAUACCCAUGGAGGAGAAUGAGCUGUAUGCUACCUGGAAGACAGCCCAAUACCAGGUGACAGUUAAGACCAAUGAGGCGUCGAGGAGAUGUCAGCUGACAGGAAGUUACCUCCUCUUGCCAGAAAGAGACGCCAUAUUGCUCCAGGACCUCCAGACUGGUGUUACCGUCCACUGCUGGCCCUACCACCUGCUACGACGCUUCGGACAGGUCAAGGGAUGCUUCAGCAUCGAGGCGGGCCGUCGCUGUAGCUCGGGAGAGGGUCAAUUCACCUUCAUGUCUGAGCACGCUCCUCAGAUCUACAAGGCCAUGGAAGCUGCUCUUACUCUGCACAGCGAGAUGGAGAAUGAAGACACCAAGACCUCUAUCCAGCCUCCUAGCAACUCAUCGUCUCCUCAACUUCCUCAUUCUUCCACCUCUACUCACCUUCCACAUAACUCAUCUUCUCCUCAACUUCCUCAUUCUUCCACCUCUACUCACCUUCCACAUAACUCAUCGUCUCCUCAACUUCCUCAUUCUUCCACCUCUACUCACCCUCCUAUCAAACACAGAGUCCACACCCGCACCGACCUAUCAGACAGACCCACUGCCCCUCCUCUACCAAUGAGAAACAACCUCUUACACAGCCCUCCAAUCAUAUCUCCUGUUACUGAACAGGUUCCGGGGUCUGAGCCAAUGGCUGACUCUGAUUGUGAUCUGUAUGCCACUAUAGAGGACCACCUCCUCCCCAGAAUGAAACACCCGCCAGCCCCACUCAGGAUGCAGCACAGCCUGCAUCUCUAUGAGGAGGAAGAGGAGGAAGAGGAGAGGUGUCACUCCCUGGAUACCGUCGACCUGAACAAACUGAGGCUGGGGGAGGGGUCUCCUUAUUACAACCUGAGAAGGGGUAUUACUGGGAGGGCAGAGGAGGAGGAGGAUGAGAGAAAGAAGGAGAGUAUGGUAGGUAGCUCACAGUGUAUCUAUGCUUUAGUGAACAAGCCCUCUGAGACCCAACCACUGUCUCUGGCCUGGUCCCUGCCUCAACCCCAAACCCAGUCCCGGUCUAUGCCAAACCUCUCCCGCCUGCAGGCCCAGGCCCAGCUAAAGGGGGAAGAAGAGAUGGGCUCGGGGGGCUCCAUCACCCCCAACCAGGACCCUAUCAGCUUUAAACAGAAGCUCUCUGACAUCCUGGGUAAGGAUCUGGCUAAGUUCCAGCAGCCCCUACCCCCCCUGGCCACAGUGACACCAAGAGGCAGCGAAUACUAAUGUCUACCAUUACUAAAAGACUUGUGACUGUUAUACCAGCUCUAUCAGAACUAGAAGACAUGGGGAGGUGACUGUUAUACCAGCUCUAUCAGGUCUAUCAGAACUAGAAGACAUGGGGAGGGGACUGUUAUACCAGCUCUAUCAGCUCUAUCAGAACUAGAAGACAUGGGGAGGGGACUGUUAUACCAGCUCUAUCAGAACUAGAAGACAUGGGGAGGGGACUGUUAUACCAGCUCUAUCAGCUCUAUCAGAACUAGAAGACAUGGGGAGGGGACUGUUAUACCAGCUCUAUCAGAACUAGAAGACAUGGGGAGGUGACUGUUAUACCAGCUCUAUCAGAACUAGAAGACAUGGGGAGGUGACUGUUAUACCAGCUCUAUCAGCUCUAUCAGAACUAGAAGACAUGGGGAGGGGACUGUUAAACCAGCUCUAUCAGAACUAGAAGACAUGGGGAGGGGACUGUUAUACCAGCUCUAUCAGCUCUAUCAGAACUAGAAGACAUGGGGAGGGGACUGUUAAACCAGCUCUAUCAGCUAUAUCAGAACUAGAAGACAUGGGGAGGGGACUGUUAUACCAGCUCUAUCAGCUCUAUCAGAACUAGAAGGCAUGGGGAGGGGACUGUUAAACCAGCUCUAUCAGAACUAGAAGACAUGGGGAGGGACUGUUAUACCAGCUCUAUCAGGUCUAUCAGAACUAGAAGACAUGGGGAGGUGACUCUUAUACCAGCUCUAUCAGGUCCAUCAGAACUAGAAGACAUGGGGAGGGGACUGUUAAACCAGCUCUAUCAGAACUAGAAGACAUGGGGAGGGGACUGUUAUACCAGCUCUAUCAGAACUAGAAGACAUGGGGAGGUGACUGUUAUACCAGCUCUAUCAGCUCUAUCAGAACUAGAAGACAUGGGGAGGGGACUGUUAUACCAGCUCUAUCAGAACUAGAAGACAUGGGGAGGGGACUGUUAUACCAGCUCUAUCAGAACUAGAAGACAUGGGGAGGGGACUGUUAAACCAGCUCUAUCAGAACUAGAAGACAUGGGGAGGGGACUGUUAUACCAGCUCUAUCAGCUCUAUCAGAACUAGAAGACAUGGGGAGGGGACUGUUAUACCAGCUCUAUCAGCUCUAUCAGAACUAGAAGACAUGGGGAGGGGACUGUUAUACCAGCUCUAUCAGCUCUAUCAGAACUAGAAGACAUGGGGAGGGGACUGUUAUACCAGCUCUAUCAGCUCUAUCAGAACUAGAAGACAUGGGGAGGGGACUGUUAAACCAGCUCUAUCAGCUCUAUCAGAACUAGAAGACAUGGGGAGGGGACUGUUAUACCAGCUCUAUCAGCUCUAUCAGAACUAGAAGACAUGGGGAGGGGACUGUUAUACCAGCUCUAUCAGGUCCAUCAGAACUAGAAGACAUGGGGAGGGGACUGUUAAACCAGCUCUAUCAGAACUAGAAGACAUGGGGAGGGGACUGUUAUGCCAGCUCUAUCAGGUCCAUCAGAACUAGAAGACAUGGGGAGGGGACUGUUAUACCAGCUCUAUCAGCUCUAUCAGAACUAGAAGACAUGGGGAGGGGACUGUUAUACCAGCUCUAUCAGAACUAGAAGACAUGGGGAGGGGACUGUUAUACCAGCUCUAUCAGAACUAGAAGACAUGGGGAGGUGACUGUUAUACCAGCUCUAUCAGAACUAGAAGACAUGGGGAGGGGACUGUUAUACCAGCUCUAUCAGAACUAGAAGACAUGGGGAGGGGACUGUUAUACCAGCUCUAUCAGCUCUAUCAGAACUAGAAGACAUGGGGAGGGGACUGUUAUACCAGCUCUAUCAGAACUAGAAGACAUGGGCAGGGGACUGUUAUACCAGCUCUAUCAGCUCUAUCAGAACUAGAAGACAAGGGGAGGGGACUGUUAUACCAGCUCUAUCAGGUUCAUCAGAACUAGAAGACAUGGGGAGGGGACUGUUAUACCAGCUCUAUCAGGUCCAUCAGAACUAGAAGACAUGGGGAGGGGACUGUUAAACCAGCUCUAUCAGAACUAGAAGACAUGGGGAGGGGACUGUUAUACCAGCUCUAUCAGGUCCAUCAGAACUAGAAGACAUGGGGAGGGGACUGUUAUACCAGCUCUAUCAGAACUAGAAGACAUGGGGAGGGGCCUGUUAUACCAGCUCUAUCAGAACUAGAAGACAUGGGGAGGGGACUGUUAUACCAGCUCUAUCAGAACUAGAAGACAUGGGGAGGGGACUGUUAUACCAGCUCUAUUAGGUCCAUCAGAACUAGAAGACAUGGGGAGGGGACUGUUAUACCAGCUCUUUCAGCUCUAUCAGAACUAGAAGACAUGGGGAGGGGACUGUUAAACCAGCUCUAUCAGCUCUAUCAGAACUAGAAGACAUGGGGAGGGGACUGUUAAACCAGCUCUAUCAGCUCUAUCAGAACUAGAAGACAUGGGGAGGGUACUGUUAUACCAGCUCUAUCAGCUCUAUCAGAACUAGAAGACAUGGGGAGGGGACUGUUAUACCAGCUCUAUCAGCUCUAUCAGAACUAGAAGACAUGGGGAGGGGAAUGUUAUACCAGCUCUAUCAGGUCCAUCAGAACUCGAAGACAUGGGGAGGGGACUGUUAAACCUGCUCUAUCAGAACUAGAAGACAUGGGGAGGGGACUGUUAUACCAGCUCUAUCAGAACUAGAAGACAUGGGGAGGGGACUGUUAUACCAGCUCUAUCAGGUUCAUCAGAACUAGAAGACAUGGGGAGGGGAAUGUUAUACCAGCUCUAUCAGGUCCAUCAGAACUCGAAGACAUGGGGAGGGGACUGUUAAACCUGCUCUAUCAGAACUAGAAGACAUGGGGAGGGGACUGUUAUACCAGCUCUAUCAGCACUAGAAGAAAUGGGGAGGGGCCUGUUAUACCAGCUCUAUCAGAACUAGAAGACAUGGGGAGGGGACUGUUAUACCAGAUCUAUCAGGUCCAUCAGAACUAGAAGACAUGGGGAGGGGACUGUUAUACCAGCUCUAUCAGAACUAGAAGACAUGGGGAGGGGACUGUUAUACCAGCUCUAUCAGCUCUAUCAGAACUAGAAGACAUGGGGAGGGGACUGUUAUACCAGCUCUAUCAGAACUAGAAGACAUGGGGAGGGGACUGUUAUACCAGCUCUAUCAGAACUAGAAGACAUGGGGAGGGGACUGUUAUACCAGCUCUAUCAGGUCCAUCAGAACUAGAAGACAUGGGGAGGGGACUGUUGUACCAGCUCUAUCAGCUCUAUCAGAACUAGAAGACAUGGGGAGGGGACUGUUAUACCAGCUCUAUCAGAACUAGAAGACAUGGGGAGGGGCCUGUUAUACCAGCUCUAUCAGAACUAGAAGACAUGGGGAGGGGACUGUUAUACCAGCUCUAUCAGGUCCAUCAGAACUAGAAGACAUGGGGAGGGGACUGUUAUACCAGCUCUAUCAGGUCCAUCAGAACUAGAAGACAUGGGGAGGGGACUGUUAUACCAGCUCUAUCAGAACUAGAAGACAUGGGGAGGGGACUGUUAAACCAGCUCUAUCAGCUCUAUCAGAACUAGAAGACAUGGGGAGGGGACUGUUAUACCAGCUCUAUCAGCUCUAUAAGACAUGGGGAGGGGACUGUUAUACCAGCUCUAUCAGAACUAGAAGACAUGGGGAGGGGACUGUUAUACCAGCUCUAUCAGCUCUAUCAGAACUAGAAGACAUGGGGGGGGACUGUUAUACCAGCUCUAUCAGAACUAGAAGACAUGGGGAGGGGACUGUUAAACCAGCUCUAUCAGAACUAGAAGACAUGGGGAGGGGACUGUUAUACCAGCUCUAUCAGGUCCAUCAGAACUAGAAGACAUGGGGAGGGGACUGUUAUACCAGCUCUAUCAGAACUAGAAGACAUGGGGAGGUGACUGUUAUACCAGCUCUAUCAGAACUAGAAGACAUGGGGAGGUGACUGUUAUACCAGCUCUAUCAGCUCUAUCAGAACUAGAAGACAUGGGGAGGGGACUGUUAUACCAGCUCUAUCAGAACUAGAAGACAUGGGGAGGGGACUGUUAUACCAGCUCUAUCAGAACUAGAAGACAUGGGGAGGGGACUGUUAUACCAGCUCUAUCAGAACUAGAAGACAUGGGGAGGGGACUGUUAUACCAGCUCUAUCAGAACUAGAAGACAUGGGGAGGGGACUGUUAUACCAGCUCUAUCAGCUCUAUCAGAACUAGAAGACAUGGGGAGGGGACUGUUAUACCAGCUCUAUCAGAACUAGAAGACAUGGGGAGGGGACUGUUAAACCAGCUCUAUCAGAACUAGAAGACAUGGGGAGGGGACUGUUAUACCAGCUCUAUCAGAACUAGAAGACAUGGGGAGGUGACUGUUAUACCAGCUCUAUCAGAACUAGAAGACAUGGGGAGGGGACUGUUAUACCAGCUCUAUCAGAACUAGAAGACAUGGGGAGGGGACUGUUAUACCAGCUCUAUCAGAACUAGAAGACAUGGGGAGGGGACUGUUAUACCAGCUCUAUCAGAACUAGAAGACAUGGGGAGGGGACUGUUAUACCAGCUCUAUCAGAACUAGAAGACAUGGGGAGGGGACUGUUAUACCAGGUCUAUCAGAACUAGAAGACAUGGGGAGGGGACUGUUAUACCAGCUCUAUCAGAACUAGAAGACAUGGGGAGGGGACUGUUAUACCAGCUCUAUCAGAACUAGAAGACAUGGGGAGGGGACUGUUAUACCAGGUCUAUCAGAACUAGAAGACAUGGGGAGGUGACUGUUAAACCAGCUCUAUCAGAACUAGAAGACAUGGGGAGGUGACUGUUAUACCAGCUCUAUCAGAACUAGAAGACAUGGGGAGGUGACUUUGAGUGCCUAAAGAACUGCCAGUAUUAAAAGUGCACAAUUGAAUCAAAAGUGUAUUGUGUGCAUUUGUAACUUGCAUUUAUUUCAGCAUUUAGCCUAGAAAUCCCCCCAACCUCUCUACACCCCCUGGGUCCAGUGAAGCUGAAUAUACAGUGGCUGUAAUUAUCACUACUAGGACUCUAUCCCUACCUAAUCUCAUCUACCCAGAACAAUGUCAUGUACGUUACGUAGUCUGUUCACAAGACAUGCUACGAGAGAAGGAAACCAACCAGCAUUAUUCAAAAUAUAGGAUUCCAUCAAAAGUGUUGUGUGUGUGCAUUUGUAAAUUGCAUUUUUAUUUCAACAUUUACAUAUUAUGGAUGUAUCUCUUGCAUUAAAUUAAAAUAUAAUUGAAACAACAUAUUGAGUUGACUAAAAGAAGGUGAUACAUUUAUUUCCCAUGCCAAUAAAGUGGAAUAUACAGUGGUGAAGCUGUUGAAAUUAAA
RNA transcript from Oncorhynchus nerka (sockeye salmon), 6903 nucleotides. It is a transcript of the gene named docking protein 2-like, with no coding region annotated. Lineage: Eukaryota; Metazoa; Chordata; Actinopteri; Salmoniformes; Salmonidae. The transcript has 4 exons. The record is from RefSeq and is a predicted model, not a curated record.